This 428-nucleotide ribosomal RNA is filed under the name uncultured archaeon. RNAcentral's name for it is "bacterial SSU rRNA". It matches the Rfam family "Archaeal small subunit ribosomal RNA", at positions 474 to 903 of the family's 1478-position model. The record is from RNAcentral.
UACCCGCGCCCCUAGUGGUGGUCGAUAUUAUUGAGCCUAAAACGUCCGUAGCCGGUCUUCUAAAUCCUUGGGUAAAUCGGGCAGCUUAACUGUCCGAAUUCCGGGGAGACUGGGAGACUUGGGACCGGGAGAGGUCAGAGGUACUUCUGGGGUAGGGGUAAAAUCCUGUAAUCCUGGAAGGACCACCGGUGGCGAAGGCGUCUGACUAGAACGGAUCCGACGGUGAGGGACGAAGCCCUGGGGCGCAAACGGGAUUAGAUACCCCGGUAGUCCAGGGUGUAAACGCUGCGGGCUUGGUGUUGGGGGUCCUUAGUGGGCGCCCAGUGCCGGAGAGAAGUUGUUAAGCCUGCUGCUUGGGGAGUAUGUCCGCAAGGAUGAAACUUAAAGGAAUUGGCGGGGAGCACCGCAACGGGAGGAGCGUGCGGUUC